GCGAAGAACCUUACCUACUCUUGACAUCCAGAGAAKCCAGCGGAGACGCAGGWGUGCCUUCGGGARCUCUGAGACAGGUGCUGCAUGGCUGUCGUCAGCUCGUGUUGUGAAAUGUUGGGUUAAGUCCCGCAACGAGCGCAACCCUUAUCCUUGUUUGCCAGCACGUAAUGGUGGGAACUCCAGGGAGACUGCCGGUGAUAAACCGGAGGAAGGUGGGGACGACGUCAAGUCAUCAUGGCCCUUACGAGUAGGGCUACACACGUGCUACAAUGGCGCAUACAGAGGGCGGCCAACUUGCGAAAGUGAGCGAAUCCCAAAAAGUGMGUMGURGUCCGGAUUGGAGUCUGCAACUCGACUCCAUGAAGUCG
This 368-nucleotide ribosomal RNA is filed under the name Vibrio sp. RNAcentral describes it as "bacterial SSU rRNA". It matches the Rfam family "Bacterial small subunit ribosomal RNA", at positions 961 to 1328 of the family's 1533-position model. Lineage: Bacteria; Pseudomonadati; Pseudomonadota; Gammaproteobacteria; Vibrionales; Vibrionaceae. The record is from RNAcentral.